This 253-nucleotide ribosomal RNA is filed under the name uncultured bacterium. RNAcentral describes it as "partial 16S ribosomal RNA". It matches the Rfam family "Bacterial small subunit ribosomal RNA", at positions 524 to 776 of the family's 1533-position model. The record is from RNAcentral.
GACGGAGGAUGCAAGUGUUAUCCGGAAUCACUGGGCGUAAAGCGUCUGUAGGUGGUUCGAAAAGUCCACUGUUAAAGAUUGAGGCUUAACUUCAAAAAUGCCGUGGAAACUUUCAAACUAGAGUAUGGUAGGGGUAGAGGGAAUUUCCAGUGGAGCGGUGAAAUGCGUAGAUAUUGGAAAGACCACCGAUGGCGAAGGCACUCUACUGGGCCAUUACUGACACUGAGAGACGAAAGCUAGGGGAGCAAACAGG